RNAcentral lists this transfer RNA (72 nucleotides) under Nematostella vectensis (starlet sea anemone). It matches the Rfam family "tRNA". Rfam says of the family: Transfer RNA (tRNA) molecules are approximately 80 nucleotides in length. Their secondary structure includes four short double-helical elements and three loops (D, anti-codon, and T loops). The record is from Rfam by way of RNAcentral. Lineage: Eukaryota; Metazoa; Cnidaria; Anthozoa; Actiniaria; Edwardsiidae.
GGUGCGAUAGCUCAGUGGUACGGGCUUCGCUUCUCAAACAAGAGGCCCGUGGUUCGAAUCCAGGUCACAUCA